AGCGGCGGACGGGUGAGUAAUGCUUAGGAAUCUGCCUAUUAGUGGGGGACAACAUUUCGAAAGGAAUGCUAAUACCGCAUACGUCCUACGGGAGAAAGCAGGGGAUCUUCGGACCUUGCGCUAAUAGAUGAGCCUAAGUCGGAUUAGCUAGUUGGUGGGGUAAAGGCCUACCAAGGCGACGAUCUGUAGCGGGUCUGAGAGGAUGAUCCGCCACACUGGGACUGAGACACGGCCCAGACUCCUACGGGAGGCAGCAGUGGGGAAUAUUGGACAAUGGGCGCAAGCCUGAUCCAGCCAUGCCGCGUGUGUGAAGAAGGCCUUAUGGUUGUAAAGCACUUUAAGCGAGGAGGAGGCUACUUUAGUUAAUACCUAGAGAUAGUGGACGUUACUCGCAGAAUAAGCACCGGCUAACUCUGUGCCAGCAGCCGCGGUAAUACAGAGGGUGCAAGCGUUAAUCGGAUUUACUGGGCGUAAAGCGCGCGUAGGCGGCUAAUUAAGUCAAAUGUGAAAUCCCCGAGCUUAACUUGGGAAUUGCAUUCGAUACUGGUUAGCUAGAGUGUGGGAGAGGAUGGUAGAAUUCCAGGUGUAGCGGUGAAAUGCGUAGAGAUCUGGAGGAAUACCGAUGGCGAAGGCAGCCAUCUGGCCUAACACUGACGCUGAGGUGCGAAAGCAUGGGGAGCAAACAGGAUUAGAUACCCUGGUAGUCCAUGCCGUAAACGAUGUCUACUAGCCGUUGGGGCCUUUGAGGCUUUAGUGGCGCAGCUAACGCGAUAAGUAGACCGCCUGGGGAGUACGGUCGCAAGACUAAAACUCAAAUGAAUUGACGGGGGCCCGCACAAGCGGUGGAGCAUGUGGUUUAAUUCGAUGCAACGCGAAGAACCUUACCUGGCCUUGACAUAGUAAGAACUUUCCAGAGAUGGAUUGGUGCCUUCGGGAACUUACAUACAGGUGCUGCAUGGCUGUCGUCAGCUCGUGUCGUGAGAUGUUGGGUUAAGUCCCGCAACGAGCGCAACCCUUUUCCUUAUUUGCCAGCGAGUAAUGUCGGGAACUUUAAGGAUACUGCCAGUGACAAACUGGAGGAAGGCGGGGACGACGUCAAGUCAUCAUGGCCCUUACGGCCAGGGCUACACACGUGCUACAAUGGUCGGUACAAAGGGUUGCUACCUAGCGAUAGGAUGCUAAUCUCAAAAAGCCGAUCGUAGUCCGGAUUGGAGUCUGCAACUCGACUCCAUGAAG
This 1236-nucleotide ribosomal RNA is filed under the name Acinetobacter calcoaceticus. Its description in RNAcentral is "bacterial SSU rRNA". It matches the Rfam family "Bacterial small subunit ribosomal RNA", at positions 94 to 1325 of the family's 1533-position model. The record is from RNAcentral. Lineage: Bacteria; Pseudomonadati; Pseudomonadota; Gammaproteobacteria; Moraxellales; Moraxellaceae.